RNAcentral lists this ribosomal RNA (241 nucleotides) under uncultured bacterium. Its description in RNAcentral is "partial 16S ribosomal RNA". It matches the Rfam family "Bacterial small subunit ribosomal RNA", at positions 524 to 766 of the family's 1533-position model. The record is from RNAcentral.
UACGAAGGGGCUAGCGUUGCUCGGAAUCACUGGGCGUAAAGGGUGCGUAGGCGGGUCUUUAAGUCAGGGGUGAAAUCCUGGAGCUCAACUCCAGAACUGCCUUUGAUACUGAAGAUCUUGAGUUCGGGAGAGGUGAGUGGAACUGCGAGUGUAGAGGUGAAAUUGUAGAUAUUCGCAAGAACACCAGUGGCGAAGGCGGCUCACUGGCCCGAUACUGACGCUGAGGCACGAAAGCGUGGGG